This is a long non-coding RNA of Felis catus (domestic cat), 4089 nucleotides long. RefSeq lists it as uncharacterized. The record is from RefSeq and is a predicted model, not a curated record. NCBI's taxonomy places the organism in Eukaryota, Metazoa, Chordata, Mammalia, Carnivora, Felidae. The transcript has 6 exons.
CAGAGGGUUGGCUAUUUGACACAGAGUAGUCAAGGAAGGCUUCCUUAAAUAGGGAAUGGUUAAGCAAAGAAUUCAAUGAUGUAAAGGAAUGAGUCAUGCUGAGAUCACAAGGAAGAAUCCCAAGUAGAAAGGACAGCAUAUGUAAAAUUUCUGAGGCAGGAAUAAGCUUGGUGCAACAGAGGAACAGCAAAUGUGCCAGUGAGGCUAGAGGGGUAGGAACAAAGGAAUGACAGCAGAAGAUGAGGACACAGGAGACAGAAAGGCAGGGCCAGAUGUCAUGGACCUUGAAAGCCAUGUUCUUGAUUGGUGACUUUGAUGAAGCAUACGGACAUAUGGAGAGGACAAUGUGGCAAGGGACCAAGAGUGACUUCUGGUCAACAGUCACUAAGGAACUGAGACUCUCAGUUCAACAGUUCAGAAGGAACUGAAACUUCCAAUUAUUACAGGAGCACGAAACCUGAUGCUUCCUCCUUUGAACCUUCACAUGAAGACCCCAGCCAUGGCAGUUUUGAGAGAAACAGAGAGAGAGAGAUGGAAAGUUAGAGAGAGGGGACAGAGGAUCUGAAGAGAGCUCUGAGAUGACAGUGGAGAGCGCGCCAGAUGCAGGGCUCAAACUCAAGGACCUUGAGACCAUGACCAGAGAGGAAGCUGGAUGCUCAACCCACUGAGCCACCCAGGCCUUUGGAAACAGGAAACUUUGGAAGACUUCCUACUAAGGACAAUGAAGUUUGACGUUCAGGCACAAAAAAGAGCUAAAGAAUUAUUCAAUAACUGCCCAGAAAAAGAAGUCAAUUUUACAAGGAGAGCCUAUAAAUAAGCUUCUUAAGGGCAACAACCACUUCUAUUCAUCUUUGAAUUCUUCACGCUGCAGUUUAAUUGGAGAAGUGUUUUAUUAUUGUAAAAGCCACUUGAUUACAACACAGCAUUUGCCGCAAACAAACAGGCAAUUAAAAAAAUAUAUUGCAAAACGAGGUGAUUGCUUAUCAACAUCUAAACUUCCCCCUCUGCAUUUUCCCUUCCAUUAUUCUCUUAGUUCCUUGCAAACACCUUUAAAAGUUCUUCUUUUACUAACAUGAUAGAUUUACAACCACAGGAUCUCAGGAUUAGAAGGGACCUUCAAGAUCGGAUAUUCCAACAUCAUCUGGAAUGAUCCAGCCAAAACCCGAAAUCCUCCAACAGUGGGGAAUUCAUUACCUUUCAAAGCCGUUCAUCCUUGCAACUUUAGCAAAGUGUAAUUCCUCUGAUACCAGCAACACAGCAUACCAAGAAGUACCGAGGAUACAAAAUCGAAGACUGGAACCUUUUGUGUGAAGUCACAACAGUAGGGCUGAGUGGUCCCACAACAAGAUGGACACACAACAAGAUGGACAAGCCCCCUUCCCUGAGGACAGAAUGGGUGUCCUUGCGCUCUGACAUUCCCACCUUUCUCCAUGUGACCAUGAGUGACAGGAACCACACUCCUGCUCUGUAUUUAGUACCAAUGAUACCAAUGGAAUGCUUUGACCCUAACAGGUACUGAAAUAACACCGAUCCACUAUUAUCUACUUCAAGAAUCACAAAGACUGACUCAAGAACAGUCCUUCAAGUCAUAACGCCCUAGUACCUAUUCAUUCCCAUGAGACACAAUUCUAAAACUUGAGAGCACAUCAGAAUCACCCAGAGGACCUAUUAAAACAAAGGCAGGCCCACGCCCCCAAGCUUCUGAUUCAGUAGGUCUGUGGUCAGGCCUAAGAACUGGCAUUUUUAACAAGUUCCCAGGUGAUGUUCAUUCUGCUGAUCCAGGAACUACAUUUUGAGUUCCCGAUAGGCAUAUACGAUUUAACUGUAUUUAGAACAUCCGAAGUCAGAAAUUAACAAAGAAUGAAGGGAAGCAGAGAAGUCUUUCAAUCAGGCUCCAAAUACAAUUUUUUUGGAAGAGUCUUGAAACAUUAAUGUCUUAAAUAUUAAAGUGGUAGUGAUGACAACGUGUUGGAUGAGCCAAAGUUUGGCUGUAUUUUCCACUGGUAAUAUCUGCCAACUAUUGUUCACUGAAAGCCUUUUACAGACAUGUAGAGAACUAAUACGAGUUAUUAAUUUAAAUGUUUACCUUCUACUACUUAAUAUCUUUGACUGUCUUCAGCCCUGGGAUCAUGCAGUCUUGGUCCUUCACCAGGAACAAGCCUGGAAGGCUCCUCAGAAGAAGUGUGCCUGUCAUGCCAGCCCUGGGCCAGGUGCUGGCCAUUACCUUCAACUUUUUGAAGUGUCAUUCUCACCGAGGUGCUGCAAAUUUCUGUGGCAUCUGAGGCUCCUCCCAUCCACCCAUCGUCUUUCCACUUCUGCCUCCUUAUUCCACAGAUCACAUGGUUAAGAGAACAUUACUGAACAAUUCAUGGUCCUUCAAACAAUUUCCUGGGGGUGCUUCCCAAAUGGUCAGAAGUAUAAUGAUCUCUCUCUUCAAUGGUCUCAUUUGCUCCUACAUUUCACUUCACAUGUUAUGAAUACAACUUCAAGAAGAAGAUUACUUUAACAUCCCCAGUCUUCCAUGAUUUCCUCCGAUUUUCUUUGGCAAUGCACUUCCUCAAACAGAACUUCUAGGCAAAAGACACUGCUGCAUAUUUUAUCAUGAAAUCGAAUUCUUCAUUAUUUAGUAAUGGUCACAUGGGGUGUUGAAAUAAAUGAAAACCAAAUUAAUCACACUGUAUGUUCUUACACAGGACUUUGAAAAACAGGGUGAAAUCCAUCUCCCAAGAAUCACGGAGUUUCACCAUACUGAAAAAUGAGACGAGAGCUUGAAUUAAAAAAAAAAAAAUCUCCCCCUCUAUUGCAGAUGAUAAUGAAAAGUAAGACGAAAGCAAUGAAAUCAGAGUGAGUGGUGGAUUGAAACUGUUCAUCAUAAAAUAUUUGGGUGAAAUAAUAGAAGGCUCCCUCAGUCCUACUACAGACAGGGUCUGGGAUUAAAACAAAAAAGUCAGGACACAAUGGAAAAGGAAAGUGCGCAAGUUAAUUAGCCAGCAGGAUACUUUUCAUUUGGGGGUAGACUGUGGUGCUGUAAGAAACCAUGGGUCUCCAGAAAGAUCCCUUCUAAUGGAGCCCAACAAUUAGAAUCACGAGCUGCCUUUGUACCCGGCUACACAACCUCAUGCCUUUAAAAUAGAUCUGUCACUAAUGACUGAAGGCUGCAUGCAAUUUACCUCACUUCACAACCAUCUGCUGAGUAUUCUUAGUUCUGACUCUGGUUGAAAGGGACCUGUAACGAGGUUUCUGGGUAGACCCCCUCUCUUUAAAAGUCCGUUAGACUCUAAUGUUUAGAGAAAUGCUUCUGAUCCACAGAAACCAGAUUGUGUUCCCCAGCAGAUGCUGCGUGCUUUUCAGGGUCCGGUGGCACCAAAUGCUCCACGAGGGGUCUCUACUCCAGGGGAUGGGAAGAUGGGCAAGCAGUCUUGAGGAGCUGCAAGGAUAAAAUGGUGCACAUUUCAUUUGUCUUGGGAUUUGUAAAAUCUCAUCUGGCUCUCAUCUCUGGAAUGGCAGCACACAAAGACAUUUAUCACCCCUUCUGGAGUCAAAUACUUACGCUACUUGGGAAGGAAACGUAGGGGAUUGGAAGGGACCUGAAGAGAUCAUCAAACCCUGCCUUACAGCAAGAAGAAAGGAAACGAAACAAAACGAAACAAAACGAAACAAAACAAAACGUAGUCUCCAAAAGUUUAUCUUUUCAGAUCAAUUUCUCUCCCAGAAAACCUGAGAAGUCAAAUGACUAAAAGUUAACAUUCUGUGCCCCUCUGGCGUGUCUUUACACACCCUGCCAAAGUAGAAAUGGAGUUAUAGGCAGAUUUAAAUCCGGUCCUUAAGUCUAAUCUCGUUUACGCGCUCAGGGGCACAUUUGAGGCAAUAUCAUAACUGAUUUUCAAAACUGAUUUUGGUUUUACUCUUUUUUUCAAGUGUGAGAAAAAAUAUAAUCCAAUAGUUGGCAGGGGACAUCAUAGACUCUUACAUGUUAUUAUUGGCAAGAAUGGAAACUCAGAAAUUUAAAAGAGGAGGUUUUUUUUUCUUUGCCAAUUAUGUUCAUCUGACAAAAAUGUGUUCUAUAUGUUUUUAAUAAAAAAGUGAUUU